UCAUCUUUAUCAGGAUCCUUCAUGUAGGAUGAACAUGGCACAGCUGGAGAGUUUCAGUAAGUCUCAAUUUAACUCUGUGCAGCCUUUGUAGCUUUCAUUCCCUUGUUCAGAGUGAACAGAGACUUAUUAGCUGUCUCACACUGGAGAUCUUUCUUUUGUCAUCAAACUAUGGCAACCAUUAAGACAGGAAUAUCAUUUGAGAGCUUCCCUUUCUUGUUUAUUGCUUCAUUGUCCCCUUUGCCUGGAACCUCUGAUAGACCCUCUGAGUUUAGACUAUGGCCACAGGGCCAUAGUGAGUCCAGGUUGAGGAAUGAGCAUCACUGGGCUACCACUCUGCGAUACCGCCACCGACUGACCAAAAGCGGUGGUUUCCAAUCUGAAUCACCAAUCCUACCCAUACAACCUCAUAUGAUAUAAAUUGCCAGGUUGGCUAAGCUUAGCUGGGAGUUACAGCACAGGGGACAUAGCAUUGGGCACAGCUGCUUUAGUUGAGCUCUCAGAGAUGUUCCUUACAGGAGGGACAUUAUCCCUCUCAUCUCAGCUUUGUAAGGAACCAUACUAGAUGGAUGUGUGUGAAUCCACCACAGGUGAGAUAAGCCUAGUUCUGUAAAGAUCUGAACUCUUUGUAAAUGACCAUGAGCACAACUUCUAGGGACCUAAAACAGAUAUAUUUGACAGAAGACUCACAAUUCCCUUGUGAAAAAUGAGAUGUAUGUUCAUCAAUCAUCAUGUAAAUUCCAUGCAAAGUCUUUCUAGCCCAAAUGCACUUCAUACAUCAGGCUAGUCUUGCUGUCAACAAUGUGGUCAUGAAAGGCUGCUGACUUUUCACUUUGUUGUAAUCCAACAGGUUUCCCAGAAACACAAAACACAUG
RNAcentral lists this long non-coding RNA (872 nucleotides) under Bos taurus (domestic cattle). RNAcentral describes it as "long non-coding RNA NONBTAT007140". Lineage: Eukaryota; Metazoa; Chordata; Mammalia; Artiodactyla; Bovidae. The record is from RNAcentral.